Long non-coding RNA from Canis lupus familiaris (dog), 1973 nucleotides. RefSeq lists it as uncharacterized. Lineage: Eukaryota; Metazoa; Chordata; Mammalia; Carnivora; Canidae. The transcript has 2 exons. The record is from RefSeq and is a predicted model, not a curated record.
GGUCUGGGAGGAGGUGGAGGGGAGAGAAGGGAACCCCACUCGCUGAAUGACAGCCCCGAGACGCCCGGUCAAGGUGGGCACGAGCGGCGCGCGAGGAAGGAGCCGCCAGGAGGCCACGCGGGAGGAGGUGGCGCCGAGCUGCAGGCACCGCGCCCCCUCCUCACCCCGGGCGGGGCCGCAGGAGCCGCCAACGGCACCAUCGGAGCAACCACGUCCGCUCUCCGCGCAACUUUGAUGAAGGCCGGGCCGGGAGCAGCCGCCUCUGCGCGAGGGACAGGCGGCCUUCGGGUCUGGCCGGUGUCAGCCCUCAGGCCGCAUUUACCGACUGAAAGAACACAGAGUCUGAUGUAGGAGGGACUGAACGGGCUGCCCUACACUGUCCGGAGGACGCUCAGCGCCAGCCUCAGCCGGGGUGCAUCCCCGGAAUGCUGCAUCCCCGGAAUGCUGCAUCCCCGGAAUGCUGCUUCACCGGAGGGGCUCACCCCAUACCGAGCGCGCAUCUGCAGGGGCAUCUGCAGGAGCUUCCCGCAGGAGCAGGCUCGGAGUGCAGCCUCAUCGCUCGGAGCCAGCCGCGCCAGCUGGCCCCACUGCUGCCUGUCCCCCAGCUCUGAGUCCACCUGGGACCCUGCCGCAGGGUGGAAGCAGCCCGCCAGCCUUUCCAGAAUAUUUAGAGUCAAUGCCACAAUCAGUUUGGUUAAAUGAAAAAUGCAGCGUCUCUGCCUAUGGCCUUAAUGUUCUUUUAAUUCACCAGGACCAGGAGUGUCUGGGCUACAAACCUAAUCAGGAGAUCAGCCUCCCUCCCGCUUAUUCCCCUGGGCUUCAGCUGGAGCAGGAAAGGAUGGAAGUCACCCACCCUCCACCCCCAGCCAAUUAUCUGACCCUUUGUUUUUCAAAGGUUGGUCCUGGGAAAAAGGAUGAACGCUGCGUAGCCUUAGACGCCGGCCCCCACCUGCAUGCACUCCUGCAGGGGCCAUCCAGAGGACUGCCCCCCCCAUACCAGCCCCCGCACUUUGCAUCCAUGACGGCAGGAAGGUUGCCCAAUUCCAGGAGUUCUCUGGGGAGAAAGAGCCUGUAACUCCACCGGCCACAGGGUUUCAGCACAUUCCACUGAACAGAGCUGCCCGGAGGUUUCACUUCUCUGGUUUUCCGUAGUAGGAGAGCACAGAGCAGGGAAAUGCAGCCUCUUCCCCCAUCACACCUCUCCCCAGGACAGACCCAGCUUCCCUGCGCCUCCCCAGUCAGUGGCCUGUCUUCAGUAAAUAAUCCCAUUCUAGGACCCCCUCUCCCAGGGGCCGGUAGCACUUGCACUUCCUAGCACACGGAUACUUUCCCCCUGGGUUCUGGGGGAGCCUUUGUCUUCCCAAAGCUUUUCAAAGCUCUGCUUUUUGUCAGAGCAAAUAGAAAAGAGCCGGAGACAGGCUAGCCAACCGCAGGCACAGGCCAGGCCAGCUCCCUGUUUCCUGCUUUCUGUUCCCACACAGCCGAACACUCACAGGCCCUAAAGCUGUGGUUCCCAUCCUCCCUCCCCUCCACGGGUCCCUAGGACUCUUCUGGAGCAGUUCCUAUUGUUUCUGACAACUAAGCAAACAAGGAUUAUACUCUCCACUGAAGCACACCUGCUUUACUGACGGGCAUUGAGCAAACAGUUGUAUAAAUUUACUUAUGUGCAAUUCCUGUCACUAAAGGCCUUGGUUUUCACCUGCUAAUCUGAGUUUGGACGUACCAACCUCAAGUGUAUUUAAAAUCUUACUUAAAUUACCAUAUUUCAUACUAAAAUCCACUUAACCUUUAGAUAUCACAUAGAGAUGUUCUUAAUACAGAAGACAUUAACUCAUCAGAUGGGGGGGAAAGAAAACCAUGAACAAAAUCACACAUCAUAUAAUCCAAAGCAGUGGUGACCCCAGCAUGAUUCUAUCCCAGCAUGAAUGAUCUCCUCCAACAAAUACCCUACCUGCAACUGUGGGCCUUUGAAA